AGUCAGUACCUCCGCCAUGCUGCCGCCAUGAGAGAUGUUGCACUCUUAUUACCAUGUCGUGAUUAUGUUCUUCACGAAGAGAUUCGGUUUUGAAUGGAUAACAUGCUGUAGCCUAACAGUAUACUAAAAAAACGUCUAACUAGCGAGUAAACAUCGUUAUCAGUGCGCGAAAAAAUUCAGUGAAUCUCAUUAUUUCUAUGGAAAUCGUUCUCGGGAAUUGACUUGCCUACAGCCAACGUGCAGCGGAAACCCCAUACCAAAAAGUUGAGUGAGAGACGUGCUGCAACGUUCGGUUCAACAUCAUAGUUUAUUUCCCAGCGGGCGCGGGCCCGCAAGCCGAUUAUUAAGAUCAACUAAACGUCCGUUAUGGGCUACACAACAAUAAGGAAACCAAGUGCUCACUUCGUGGAGGAACCGGUUGAACUUGUCCUUGCUGCAAGAUGGCAUCUGCAUAACGCUGCGGUGGGGUUCCGUCAGCUCAACUAUCAAGAAAAGAAGAAUCUGCAUUUGUGAUCGGGCGUGAAAUCGGCGAAAUUGAAAUGGAAAUUGGAAACAGCCAACUAGACAAUUUAAGAAAGUCCCACUCCCAGUAUGUCGUCCGAGCAUAUGUCCUGAAAGCAGCUGAAAGUGCUGUCCGUAUGCUGAAAUGUCGUCUCGUACUAGAAACUUCAUUGAAUGUUAUAGAUUAAUUUGUUGUUGUUCGCUGAUGCUGAUGCUGAUGCUGUGAAUGAUAGUGUUUGCUGCUCAAUGUGCAGAUGGUGAAAGGUGUUGUUUUCUCUGGUGUUAGUGAAUCUACAGUUAUUUUCUUACCUUCUUCACCUUCUUUGGACAUGUGGUUUGUACAGGAACAUUGUCUUGGUGAUUAGAAUUACUUGGUUUUUAAAAUACAUGGCUAGAAAUGUUAACUUAAGAAUCAGUCAAAAAGGUAGUGCUGAAGCCUUUUGAAGAAAGAUGAUGAAUUGCUUUUUUGUUUAUCUUCACUUGCUUUACCUGUGAAUUAGCUAUUCCUGUAAUCUAAAUUCCACUGGCCUAAUCAUCUGAUCUCAAAGCUUGACUACUGUUCAUUUUCCAGAAACCAGAAAAAAACUUGACAAAAAAGUAAUCGUGUUUAUUAAUUUCCUUUAAAGCAAGCUGUAAAUGUCAGUGAUUGAAGAGCAGAGAGUAGAUUCCUUUGUUUAAUUUUUGUGUAAUUUUACGUAACAUCUUAAGAUGUGAUUUUAUGUGAUUGAAUUUUCAUCUUUACCCCAUUUUUUAAAAUUUGGUAUGCUUGUUUACCCUUCGACUCUGUGAAAUCUCUACAAAUUUAACUAUUUAAGUAACCGCUAAAUUCAACUUUACUCCGUUCAUACAAUUUGUAGGCCUGGUUUACAGAAAGUUACCGAUGACGAAAGUCAAGCCAUCAUCUGCAUUCUUCCGACUCGCAAUAAUGAAUUUCAAGCUGCAGACGGGACGAACAGUUUGCUUGGCCUUCUCGCUUGAAGGUCACGAGAAACAUUACGUAAAACUGGCAUGCGGUAGUGUAGAGGUUGGGUGAGAAUGACACGUGUUUCAUCAUUAUCAAAGCAGGUACAAUAGCC
Molecule: long non-coding RNA, 1577 nt
Filed under: Daphnia pulex (common water flea)
Lineage: Eukaryota; Metazoa; Arthropoda; Branchiopoda; Diplostraca; Daphniidae
Description: uncharacterized LOC124198000, transcript variant X3
Source: RNAcentral